Molecule: ribosomal RNA, 465 nt
Filed under: uncultured bacterium
Lineage: Bacteria
Description: partial 16S ribosomal RNA
Rfam family: Bacterial small subunit ribosomal RNA
Source: RNAcentral
CCUACGGGAGGCUGCAGUGGGGAAUAUUGCGCAAUGGGCGGAAGCCUGACGCAGCGACGCCGCGUGAGGGAUGAAGGUCUUCGGAUCGUAAACCUUCGUCAGCAGGGAAGAACGGUCACUGUGCUAAUCAGCAGUGAAUUGACGGGACCUGCAAAGGAAGCACCGGCUAACUCCGUGCCAGCAGCCGGGGUAAUACGGGGGGUGCGGGCGUUAAUCGGAAUUGCUGGGCGUAAAGCGCUCGUAGGCGGUAUGUCAAGUCAAGGGUGAAAGCCCCGGGCUCAACGUGGGAACUGCCUUUGUAACUGGCAAACUGGAGUGGGUGAGAGGAUAGUGGAAUUCCAGGUGGAGGAGUGAAAUCCGUAGAUAUCUGGAGGAACAUCAGUGGCGAAGGCGACUAUCUGGCACAUAACUGACGCUGAGGAGCGAAAGCGUGGGUAGCAAACAGGAUUAGAUACCCCAGUAGUC